This 492-nucleotide ribosomal RNA is filed under the name uncultured bacterium. RNAcentral's name for it is "partial 16S ribosomal RNA". It matches the Rfam family "Bacterial small subunit ribosomal RNA", at positions 29 to 507 of the family's 1533-position model. The record is from RNAcentral.
AGUGAACGCUGGCGGUAGGCCUAACACAUGCAAGUCGAACGGCAGCACAGUAAGAGCUUGCUCUUACGGUUGGCGAGUGGCGGACGAGUGAGGAAUACAUCGGAAUCUACUUUUUCGGGGGGGAUAACGUAGGGAAACUUACGCUAAUACCGCAUACGACCUACGGGUGAAAGCAGUGGAUCUUCGGACCUUGCGCGAUUGAAUUAGCCGAUGUCGGAUUAGCUAGUUGGCUGGGUAAAGGCCCACCAAGGCGACGAUCCGUAGCUGGUCUGAGAGGAUGAUCAGCCACACUGGAACUGAGACACGGUCCAGACUCCUACGGGAGGCAGCAGUGGGGAAUAUUGGACAAUGGGCGCAAGCCUGAUCCAGCCAUACCGCGUGGGUGAAGAAGGCCUUCGGGUUGUAAAGCCCUUUUGUUGGGAAAGAAAAGAAGCAGGUUAAAACCCCGAUGUUUUGACGGUACCCAAAGAAUAAGCCCCGGCUAACUUCGUG